GAAUGUACCGAUGGGCCGAUGGGUCAA
Molecule: non-coding RNA, 27 nt
Filed under: Mus musculus (house mouse)
Lineage: Eukaryota; Metazoa; Chordata; Mammalia; Rodentia; Muridae
Source: RNAcentral